This 220-nucleotide ribosomal RNA is filed under the name uncultured bacterium. RNAcentral describes it as "partial 16S ribosomal RNA". It matches the Rfam family "Bacterial small subunit ribosomal RNA", at positions 112 to 334 of the family's 1533-position model. The record is from RNAcentral.
AAUGUAUAGGAACUUGCCUAGUAGUGGGGGAUAACGUGUGGAAACGCACGCUAAUACCGCAUACGCUCUACGGAGGAAAGCGGGGGGAUCUUCGGACCUCGUGCUACUAGAUGGGCCUAUAUCAGAUUAGCUAGCUGGUAAGGUAAUGGCUUACCAAGGCGACGAUCUGUAGCUGGUUUGAGAGAAUGAUCAGCCACACUGGGACUGAGACACGGCCCAG